Coffea arabica (coffee) is the source of this 1849-nucleotide RNA transcript. It is a transcript of the gene named E3 ubiquitin-protein ligase RHF2A, with no coding region annotated. Lineage: Eukaryota; Viridiplantae; Streptophyta; Magnoliopsida; Gentianales; Rubiaceae. The record is from RefSeq and is a predicted model, not a curated record.
GGUUAAUCCCACUCCCCAAAAAAAAAAAAAAAGAAAAGGAAAAGUAAAAAGAAAAAGAAAAACCCAUCAAGAAUUCUACUGUAAUUUCUACCAAUAAAUCAUCCACAAGGGAGAGACUCUACAAAGUCUUCGUUCCCUUUUUCCUCUUCUUCUUAUUCUUGCCUCCAAAAUAUAUACCGUUCCCACUUCAUUUAGAUAAUCUCAUCAUAAUCUUUUAGGCCUGGUAUAUAUCCCUCUUGAAUAAAGAUGGAAGAGGGUAAAGCACCCGAGAGUCAUUUGACAUCAGCGGCAGCUUUCGUGGAAGGUGGAAUUCAGGAUGCCUGUGAUGAUGCUUGCAGCAUAUGCCUUGAAGAAUUUGUUGAAAGUGAUCCUUCGACUGUGACAAAUUGCAAGCAUGAAUUUCAUCUUCAAUGUGUUCUUGAAUGGUGUCAGAGAAGCUCCAAGUGCCCAAUGUGUUGGCAGCCUAUCAGUCUGAAGGACCCUGGCAGCCAGGAACUCCUUGAUGCUGUAGAGCAUGAAAGAAAUAUCCGGAUGAAUCCACCUAGGAACACCACUAUAUUUCAUCAUCCAACUUUGGGGGAUUUUGAGUUGCAGCAUUUACCAGUUAGUGCAACUGAAUCCGAGCUUGAAGAACGUAUUAUUCAGCAUUUAGCUGCUGCUGCUGCCAUGGGAAGGGCUCGUCAUAUUGCUAGGAGGGAAGGCCAGAGGAGUAGGUCAUCAGCUCAAGGCCGUCCUCACUUUCUUGUGUUCUCUACUAAUCCUAAUGCCCCUCCUACGACGGCUGCUGCUUCGCCUCCACCUCUACAGGGUGUUGGGGGGAAUGAACCUGCAGCUAUGAUAGCUGGUUCAGCAUCUCCAUUGCUCGCCAUAGGAGGAGAUUCUACGCAAUUAAUUCCACCUACUUCUGGCCAAGCGGAUCAAGUGCCUGCUCCAGCAUCAGGAUCAAGCCCUGUUGCUAAUCAGCAUGUGCCAUUGACAAAUAGGAGGUCUCCUAAUCAAUCUUCCCCUAGCAGUCAGGACAGAGCUGGGCCAUCAGAUUUCCAGUCUUUCUCUGAAUCGUUAAAAUCACGGUUUAGUGCAAUGUCAAUGAGGUACAAAGAGUCUAUCACCAAGAGCACAAGAGGUUGGAAGGAGAGAUUUUUCUCGAGAAACAGUACGACACAGGACCUUAGUUCUGAAGGUAGAAGAGAAAGUGAUCCAGGUAUUGCUACUGUGACGGACCUGAUGGGUCAUCUAGAAACCAGAGAUAGUAGAAGAAAUACUAUAGCUUCUGUAUCAAAUAGUGAAGAGGAUAGCCCAACUUCUGGUCUGGCUGACCAGCAGCAACAUGUGGAUAUAUCAGCUAACCAGUCUUCAUCUGAGGAUGGUAGUCAAGCUCCAUGUGCUGCAAGUUCUGCUUCAAAUUAAAUGUUGAUUGAGAAGAAUAUCUACCAUUGCACUUCAUCUAUGUGGGCAAGCAUAAAUGUGUGAAGCCUUAAUGGAGGCUGGUUCAGUUCUUCAAGCCUUUGAGGGGUUUAUCUUUUAAUCCAAUCAGACCUCAAGGGAGUGUCAGGUGUAGAAGCAUUUUCAUGCAUCAAUGGAGGCCUGGUGAUGCUUAGCCGUCAUGACAAAGUAUCUAGUACUGGUCAAAAGUGCAUUGAUUGAUUCUGAUACAAUGAAAUAAGUAAAGGGCAGAGCUCUUGAACCUUGUAAUUAGAAUAUAUGACAGUAGCUGUAAAUUGAUUGACGUCUAAGUCAAAUGAAGAUACGGUUGGUAUCUUAUUAUGCUUGGUGAACUGAUGUAAAAGAUUUUGUUAUGAAUUAUACAAGCUUUAGAAAGCCUUGCUUAUUGCUGUCUUUGGUCGUUAAA